GUGCAUGCUGUCCUAUAAUUUAUGAAACGGAGCCCAGGAAACAACCAAUCGCUUAGCUCCUCCUAACAAGUCCAACUGGCUAUGAAAAGCUGGAAGUGCUGCACAGAACAAUGAAGAGGAGCUAUCCUACAUAUUAAUCUGCUUAUCUAGGAUUGCUUUCUGUGGAGAGAGAGGGAAACAUGUAACAGGGAGAGAGGAAAAAAAAAAAGAAAGGAAAAAUCACAGCUUCACUGGUGAAACAACAGAAUAUAUUUUGGUCAACGGGCAAAUCUUCUAUUGUAGUCA
Molecule: non-coding RNA, 285 nt
Organism: Charadrius vociferus (killdeer)
Lineage: Eukaryota; Metazoa; Chordata; Aves; Charadriiformes; Charadriidae
Source: Rfam